CGAUGAAGGACUCACACAUGCUGAGCAGCUGAGUUCAGUGACCCUGCAGUGUGGGAGCUUAUUUAAUCAGCAGAAUAGUGAGAACGAAUCCAAAAUGAUCGACAUUCCUGUGAAAAGCAAAGAUGAAAGAAAUUUAGUUACUUUAAUAAUCAAAUUGAAUUGAAUUCAUCACUCGUUUAUGAUUCAGGUGAAGUCUCUGCUGCAUGUGCUCACAUGUUUAAACGACUGUGAUCUGACAGAAAAGGGACCUUUCCCCUUUCUGUUACAAACAAUCCACCACCUGCUGGUUGCUCCGUGUUUUCCCGUGACAGCAGUUUAUAGGUUACGGAGAAGUUUCCUCGCCGUUAAUCUGCGAUUGCUCACGGUCUGGGAUUGGGCCUUGACCUUCAGGUGCUGCGGGUUAAUCCCGUUAGCCCCGCGGGCAUCCGCUGUGAAGAUCUCAGCAGACCUGCGCCGGCUGUGCCACACUCUAGAUCCGUGUACCACCGGCAUGCAGAACCACCUGUAGGCACGCAGAAAUAAUCCCAGCGUUUGUCUCGUGUCCUGGAUGGUGAGAUCACGGUGCAGGACAUCCUCCGGUUUUCCUGACGUCUCCCCCCUGCUGAUGAGGAUUAUCUCAGUGGGCUGAUGAACUGUCACCGAGGACAAUAUGGAUAACUCGUGCAUAUAUGAGUGAGAUCAGUCAGCACAGUGGCUCUCCUGGAGGCUCUGAGACACUCCAUCUUCAGUCGUGCGCACAGGCCGCUUCAAAUGUUCUCGUUCCCACAUUUCUUCCUUUCUGAGCGAUCGACCCCCCGCGGAGCCUCUCGCUAAAGCAGCUUAUGGUUUGCUGCUGCUGGAACAAAGUCCUGCCUCCUAACGUCCUCUAACUCUUGACUUCUGUGUGGGCUUUGCAUGGCAUGCAUGAUCCUGAUUUCUGGGUGUCUCUCCUGUGAGCUGACAGUGUGUGAGCAACAAUGAAGCAGCUGAACGUCUCUUUCAGGCAGCUGAAGAAGCUGCUUUAAUGAAGCCACCAGUAAAGAGUUACUGAUUUAUUAUCAUUAUCAUCAGGACCAUCAGCCGUGUUUGAUGAGCGGC
Astatotilapia calliptera (eastern happy) is the source of this 1077-nucleotide long non-coding RNA. The record is from Ensembl. NCBI's taxonomy places the organism in Eukaryota, Metazoa, Chordata, Actinopteri, Cichliformes, Cichlidae.